UUCCUCCCAACAAACGCGCGUCAUCAGGGCAAUGCGGGUAGGAGACGGAGGACGUGCGCGACCGCAGGCUGUUUGCUUAUGUGUAAGUCAAUGUGGGGGGCGGAGUAAGCGGUGAUCGGCCAAGAAGAGUCCGGAUGAGCCCUCUUCCUCUUGCCGCCCUGGCGGGGAGGAGGCACGGGGUCGGUGCUGCUGCUGGCUGGGAGGCAGAGAGGAACAAGCGCUGCCUUGCUGGCCGAGGAGAGUCCCUGAGUCACAAACAGGAACUCUGUGGAUCCAGCCUAACCACACAAGAGGACACCUCUGCAUCAAACACUGCAGUAAUUGUGGAGACUGAGUCUAAGUUGGCCCGAAUGCGAGAGAUUUCCCCCACAAAGAAUUCAUUAAGCACAUCACAGCAGGCUAUCUUCCCAGAAAGUAAUGGCUGCCUGCCUGUGCCCAGACCUGAGCUUGUAAGUUUCCUUUAUUGUGGCCACGGAAGGUGCAGCUUUGUUAGUUCCAAGAUGCCGCAGAGACCUGGAGAGGAUGAUGAAGAGGGUUUCCAGGACUUGGCGUGCCGUCUGCGCUCAGCAAUCACUCAGGAGCCGUGUCAAGUCAUCUUUUGCAACCGCAGCCCACGCUUGGUGAUCCCCGUCUGGCUGGACUUUGAUGGAAGACCACGUGCCUAUCCGACUUUACAGCCGGGCACGGGGCGCCGAAUGAGCAGCUACUUGGAACAUCUUUGGUUAUUCAGAGAUGCAGGGACAUAUGAUAGUCUUCUUGUCAACCAGGCAGAGUUGUUUGUGGCUACUCGCAAUCUGAAUGGACAGCCCAUACUUGCAAACAUUACAUUACCAGUGUUCACUCUAAAAGAAAGGUGUCUUCAGGUUGUCCGCACCUUGGUGAAACCAGUGGACUACAGGAGAUUAGACAUUGUUCGGUCAUUAUAUGACGACUUAGAGGAUCAUCCAAACAUCAGGAAGGAUCUUCGGCGGCUUUCUCUGGAAUGGAAUGAAAGGCUGAGGAAUGGAGGCCCUGAGAGAAAUGAAGACUCAUAAGUGGGAAAGCUGUUUUCACUAAAAUUGCCAAGUACAAGCAUUUUCAUGGGUGUGUUUGGAAGCAUCCCAUGUUUUGGUUUAGCUUGUGUAACUUCACAACAUGGGGAUGGCCAGUCAAGAGAUAACGAAGCAAGAUACUGCGGUUGAGUAUACAUGGCACAGAGUCUUUACAUUUGUUUCAAUCAAGACCAAGUACAUAGAAGACCAAAUGUUGCUGAACUUAUUUUCAUUAUUCAUUAUUCUGAACAUUUUAUUAUAGAUGUUUAGGAAAUAAACUGUAUAUUGUCAUUAGUUGGGCAAAAGAAAUCUCAUACCAAGGGAUACAUUAUCCUGUAAUUCUGAGUGUUUAUAAUGUAGAAUGAAUAAGUUUUAUGGAUUUGCUUCUUCUAGUUGUGCCAGUGGCUUGCUACGCCAUUGUUAUCUCGGAUAGUGCUCUGAUGUGCUUCCAGUCUGCAGGAUCUAAGCUCUGCCAUAUGUUUGCCCCUUGCUAAUCUGUGUUGCAGUGGAAACUUGGUAUACUGUAAUGGGAACAUAUAUGGAAGCCAAAUUAGAAUAGUUGCACUCCAUAUUUAAACAGGAACUCUUGUUCCUCCUAUUUCAGCCAAAGCAAGAGUCUGACAUCCCUGUGUUGCAGGCAAAAUGUUAUACCAGAGCUUUCUUUAACCCUGGUUCAGAUAUCUCUGCUUCAGUGUAAGUGAAUGAAGUGCGUGUGGGAACAUCGUCCCGCUCUCUGAUCAAAACCAACGUUGUAUGAACAGUGGCAAAAGAUGCUUUGCCUUUCUUUCCCCUACCUGAUACACUUACUUGCUUUUAAGAGCUUUACUGGAAAUGAUAAAGUAGCAUUGGGAAGUGGACUAAUUUUUUUUAUGUUUUAAGCUAUAGAGAGGUGAGCACUGGAACACUUUCAUAAUCUUCCAAUAUCUUAUGUUUCAACUAUAAACAUGUUAGUUUACAUUAUUAUGCAUGUCAUUAUCCUACAUCAGCACUGAUAAUUGUCACUAUUUGAUCUUUUGCACUUAUAUCCAGUUUCGUAGAAAUUCUAACCAGACUGAUGUGAAACGAACUUGAGAACAUCAAGAUGUACUAAAGUAGUCAUAAAUGCUCACCUACUAUAUAGUCAUUAGCUGCUGAUGUGAGGUUCUGAAACACAGGUUUGGAGAGGCAAGAGGAAGCAGAUAUCUUCACAGUGGACUUCCCUAGCUCUUGUAAUGUCGUCAUUUCUGUGGAAGACAUCAGAGAAGAAAAAUAGGGAAUGGCUGGAGCUUAUAUCUCUGGUAAGCAAAGGGAUGCUGAUUCAUGAUCAAAGUGAACUACACUGAUAGAAUCUUCAAAUCUUCUAGAAAACUUUAAUCAAAUUUUGUUACAAAAAUCAAUAACAAAUAUUUGCCUUGCACUUGGUUGUCCUGACAACAAAAUAGUUGAAAAGAUGUUCAUGUUGUAUUAUGGACAUCCACAGUGAUGCUUUCAACUAGAGAUAAUUAGUCUGUAUACUUUCAUUCUAUCAGCACUACUUUUCUUGUGCUCACCCAACUGUAUCACAAGAAUAUUGACUUGUAAGCAAUAGGACACAAUAUAAUGUUUUGACAGCUUCCUAUAGUUUUGUGAUAAAAAGCAAGAAUUGUCCCCUUUGCUAAGCAGAGUAUGCUCUGGUUUGUAUUUGAAUAAGAUGUGUGAGUACUGUAAGAAACCUCUCAGGGGAUGGGGCUUCUCUGGGAAGAGCAGAAGGUUCUAAGUUCCCUCCCUGGCAUCUCCAAGAUAGGGCUUAUAGAGACUCCUGCCUGCAACCAUGGAGAAGCCACUGCCAGUCUGUGUAGACAAUACUGAGCUAGAUGGACCAAUGGUCUGACUUGGUAGAAGGCAGCUUCCUGUGACUGAAUCAUGGCUAUUGAUUAUUUAAUGGAGCAGGAGCAGUAUAUUUAGUGAUAUUUUUAUUUAUUUAUUUAGUAAAAUAGCUUUUUUCCAUCUCCAGAACUAUUAUCAUUUUCCUAUAUUUUUUCAGGUUAUUUUUCAGUAGGCUUAUGAGAUCACCCAGCAUUCUGUAUGUGUCCCCACACACCCCACCUUCACAGUGCCUGGACCAAUAUGAACCAAAUCAGGUACAGUUGUAGGGACACCUCAUAUGCAUAGUUUAUGAUGUCAUCCACCCUUAUUCAAAAUGGCAAAUGCAUAGACUUUUGAGGUGCAAGUAGACUAACUUGUGAACUGCCUAACUGACUUUAACCAAAUUUGGUACAGUUAUAGUGAGUGUAACACAAGGACAGCUCAAGGGCAUAGUUUGUAAUGAUGUCAUGCACCUUGAUCCAAGGGGGUGGACACAUGAACAUUUGAGGUGCAAGUGGGACUGAUUUGGACCAAAUUUGGUACAGAUUGAUACCUCAUUUGCAUUGUUUGUGAUGUCACCCACCCGAGAUCAAGAUGGUGGACACAUUAAUGUUUGAGGCACAAGCAGGGGCGAAGUAAGCAUUUGCCUAUCGUGGCAAACAUUUUAGGAGUAGCAAAUUCUGAUGGCCAGGGAAGGGGCUGAGGGAAAGUUCUUAGUCUUCCUUAAAAUUACCUUUUUUAAAAGCACCGCUGUGUGGCAUGGAAUGAAGAAUAGCCACUGACCAGUCAGUGGGCUCAGCAGUAGCGAGGGUGGCAGUGGCAGCAGAGGUGGGGACUCCUGGGAAGUUGGAAGGCUACUCUGGGAAGAGCAGACACAGCUGAGAAGUUGGAAGGCUACUCUACAUACGAGGUGAAGGCCCAAGAGCAUAGCGAACAGGGAUAGCAAACAGGACGUAGAAGUUUAGCGGGAAGUGUGCGGGGGAGCCUGGAACAAGCCCCUGCGAUCACAAGGAGCCUGGUGGAGACGAGAACGUAAGUACAUAUCCCUCCCUCAUUUCCCUCAUAUUCUUGGGAAAGGCUGUUUGGACAGUUAAAUAGUUGACCAUUACAGCUGAGACCUAUCCUAAUAAACUAUCUAAUAAAAGGACAAUAAGCUCCCUAAAUACUGUAAACAGCCAACCAAAACAGUAUGAAGACAGAAGGUCAGCAGGGGAAGGGGCACUUCCCAGUGUAUUGCACAGAGUGCCACAUGUAUGACUAUUUGCCCCAUGGGCAGAAGUCAUGGGUGUGUGCUCGGUGCAAGGAGCUCCUGGCUCUCAGGGAACAAAUUCGUUCCCUUGAAACCAAGGUGGCGGAUCUGGAGAAGCUCAGAGAGACAUGUGGACGAGACCUUCAGGGAUGUGAUAGAGGCAUCCCACUCCAGGGCUGGUAGCUCCUCUGCUGUCAGGGAGAAUAAAGGUCUUGGGCAAGGAGGACAUCAGUCUGAGGAAGAGGGAAAUGCUCCUUUAGAAGGCACCCCUUCCAUGGAUGAUGAGCCCAUAUCCUUUCGCACAGGGGAUACUCCUCUGUGGGGUAGGGGCCUCCUUGUAGUUGGUGAUUCGAUCAUUAGAGAGAUGGAUUUGUGACCCGCAUGUUGACCGCACUGUGACUUGCCUGCUUGGUGCGAAGGUUGCGGACAUUACGCAGCGUCUAGACAGGCUCCUAGGCAGUGCUGGGGAGGAGACCGCUGUCGUGGUGCAUGUCGGCACCAAUAAUGUGGGGAAAUGCAGUCGGGAGGUCCUGGAGCCAAAUUUAGGCUGAUAGGUAGCAUUUUGAAGUCCAGGACCCCCAAGGUAGCAUUCUCAGAAAUGCUACCUGUUCCAUGUGCAAGUACAGUGAGACAGGCAUUGCUGAGAGGUUUCAAUGCAUGGAUGAGACAACGGUGCCGGGAGGAGGGGUUUAGAUUUGUUAGGCACUGGGACACAUUUUGGGGCAAGCAAGGCCUGUACAAAAGGGAUGGGCUGCACUUGAACCAAGAUGGAACCAGACUGCUGGCACUUAAAAUCAAAAAGGUUGCUGAGCAGCUUUUAAAAUGACACCUGGGGAACAGCCGAUGGGAGCUGGGCAGUAUCCUGUGUGGCAAAAGCCAUCCUUUAAAGUGUGAGGCUGCAAAGAAUUCAGAUAAAACAGAAGGGGACAGAGCAGAACCGCAUAAAGAGCAGACGGGAGCCUGUGCCAGCAGGUCAAAGAGUCAAAAGAAUAGCAUACAUCAGGGGAGAGAUUCAGCAUAUAGGUGCUCAUAUGCCAAUGCCAGAAGCCUCCGAGCCAAGAUGGGUGAGCUGGAGUGCUUGGUUGCUAAUGCAGAAAUAGAUAUAGUGGGCAUAACAGAAACAUGGUGGAACAGUGAGAACCAGUGGGACACUGUUAUCCCUGGGUAGAAACUCUAUAGGAAGGACAGGGAGGGGCGCCUUGGAGGAGGGGUAGCACUGUAUGUUAAAGAAGGGAUAGAAUCUAACAAGCUAGAAAAACUAGGUGGACUGGAGUCCUCCACAGAAACCCUGUGGGUGACUAUACAAGGCCGGAAAGGGAACGUGCUACUGGGGACGUGCUAUCGCCUUCUGGAUCAUAAUGCCGACGGUGACUGGGAGUUGCAGGAGGAAAUCAGGGAGGCGUCAAGGAGAGGCAGGGCUGUAAUUAUGGGUGAUUUCAAUUACCUACACAUAGACUGGGUAAAUUCAUAUUCAAGUCAGGACAAAGAGGUCAAAUUUCUAGAUACGCUAAAUGACUGUGCCCUAGAACAGUUGGUCAUGGAACCAACCAGAGAGAAGGCGACCUUGAAUCUAAUUCUGAGUGACACCCAGGACCUGGUGCAUGACGUCAGUGUCAUUGACUGUUACAGACCAGGCCCGAUUGGUAAACCAAAUAUGCUCAAUGGCUAGUAUACAAAAUAGGUCUGGCUCAUAAAUAAUGUCACCAACGUGACCAAGUUCUUUUAUAUUAGUGACCACGUAUGAUCUGGAUGCAAGGAAGAAAGGAGAUCAAACCACUCAAAGAUUCAAUGGGCUUUAUUGAGUAUAAAAAGAACAACAACAUAAUCUAGCAAAUCAGAAAGCAGAGCACUCUAUCAAUAUUGCUACAGUAUUUAAACAGAACAUCCUAGCCCGUACCAAUAUAUUCCACCCAGUGUGCCUAACUGACAUAUGUGUGUGCAAUUAAUCUUCCCAGAGCCUAGUACAGUUUAGAUACAGGCGGAAAAGGGGGAGGAAGGAAGGCUCAGGGCUGGUAUGGUUUUGGGGGGAUCAGAAAUUAGUAGGGGGACGAGGGGAAGGGAGCAGGUGAAGGGGAAGGGAUGAAGGAAUUCCAGGCUUGUAGGAGCAGCAUAUUUACCCAGGACUGGAGCGGAGAACUUUUCAGCUGAGGUCUUUGGCGGAGACAGGAGUUGUUGCAGUGCUCAGAUCAGGCAGCUUGGGCCGCAAAACUCAGGCAUUGCUGUAGUUUCUGUUCAUGGCCAGAAUUCCUGCUUUGCCCUGCGGCUUAGCAGCAAACUCUUGGGAUCCUCGUGAGCAGUUUUUGCCGUAGGCAAAAGAUUGCUGAACUCUCUGUCUAAAAGCCUCACUCUUUAUAGUGUUUUCCUCUUUGAUCCUUGAAUAGAAUCUGUUCACAAUCUCCUCUUUUCCUGGGUGUCCAAAAAGGUGACAACUUGCUCCUACCUUCUGAACAAAAUCUUAAUUAUUCAGGAUAUUGGCCAGUCCAGAGAGAUCUCUGAAUCUCAUCUUCUGCAAACUGUGUGCUGAGAAGGGGGGGGACAUUGCCCACAGCAAAUCUGCAUCUAAGAGCUGCAAUGGCAUCUCCCCAAAAGGUGUUAAAAAGUCAGCAGUUAGUAAGGGGAUUCAGGAUAUUCUGUGUGAGACAGCUUGUGUACCUCUACCCAGUGUUUAAUUGAAAACGAGAAUAUUUAAAGUAUACAUGAAAAGGUGUGUAUGAGAUUUGUAGCAUUGGUGAGGUGAGAAUUAAAAUCUACAGGCAUUUACUGUGUAUGCAUUUUGCUAUGUUGAACUUCCAUGGAGAACAAUACAGUUAAUCACAAACAAGGAUUUAACACUGACUUCUUUGCAACAGGAAAGGAGGGGGUGGGGAAUCAGCCCCCUGGCUCCUUCCACAGACACUUGGUAGUCAGUGGUAUUAGCAUAUGAAUUAUAGCAUUCAGCAUUCA
Hemicordylus capensis (graceful crag lizard) is the source of this 7047-nucleotide RNA transcript. It is a transcript of the gene named von Hippel-Lindau tumor suppressor, with no coding region annotated. The transcript is spliced from 7 exons. Lineage: Eukaryota; Metazoa; Chordata; Lepidosauria; Squamata; Cordylidae. The record is from RefSeq and is a predicted model, not a curated record.